AAAUAUAAAGCGUGGCUGUGCUAGCCACAAAUGUCAGUCUGCAUUUGAACAAUCAAGAGGCAGCACAUAUGCUGCAGGCUCUGGAAAACACGGACCAUUGCAACACCAAGUGAUUGAAUUUCUUACAUAUCAAUAGAAACUCAGGUUCCUUGUACUGUGAGGCCAUAUACAUCAUCGCAAUGGAGGCCAUCUAGUGGUUGCUUUUGGUUACUCAGGCCCACUGAUUUAUGUCAGUUUAAUUGAUUCAGCUUUUUGUAUAAAAUCCUAAAAGGGACUCUUUGGUGCAUCAAUCUUGAAAUGAUCUUCUUAGGAUGAUCCGAACAAGGUUUUCCAUCCACUUGAUUGACUCAUUUUGAUGUGUUUUUACUUUUAAUUUGACAAGUUGAGUUCAGUUCUAACAUCACUCCUGAAGAAGCUCUCACGAGCGAAACAUGUAGAGAGAACUGCAACAAAUUGUUAUGUGAACUGAAGUUUCCAUGUUAUACACUUCAGCUGGUCUUGUAUUGAUUUCUAUAUAUGUUUUUGUAUUAUCUAAAAAUAUUUUAUUAAAAAAUCUUUUCUACUUUUCUAAAAACCAUUGUGUCUUUCACAAUCCAUUUGCACCGCAUAAUAGUCCCAGGGUCCUCAGGUACCCUAUUUCCCUCUUUUUAUACUCCCUCUUC
Rana temporaria (common frog) is the source of this 662-nucleotide long non-coding RNA. RefSeq lists it as uncharacterized. The transcript is spliced from 4 exons. NCBI's taxonomy places the organism in Eukaryota, Metazoa, Chordata, Amphibia, Anura, Ranidae. The record is from RefSeq and is a predicted model, not a curated record.